AGUAGAGCGGCGGACGGGUGAGUAACGCGUAGGAAUCUACCUGGUAGUGGGGGACAACUUGGGGAAACCCAAGCUAAUACCGCAUACGCCCUAUGGGGGAAAGUGGGGGACCUUCGGGCCUCACGCUAUCGGAUGAGCCUGCGUAGGAUUAGCUUGUUGGUGAGGUAAAGGCUCACCAAGGCGACGAUCCGUAGCUGGUCUGAGAGGAUGAUCAGCCACACUGGGACUGAGACACGGCCCAG
RNAcentral lists this ribosomal RNA (242 nucleotides) under uncultured bacterium. RNAcentral describes it as "partial 16S ribosomal RNA". It matches the Rfam family "Bacterial small subunit ribosomal RNA", at positions 89 to 334 of the family's 1533-position model. The record is from RNAcentral.